GUCUACGGCCAUACCACCCUGAACGCGCCGAUCUCGUCUGAUCUCGGAAGCUAAGCAGGUCGGGCCCGGUUAGUACUUGGAUGGGAGACCGCCUGGGAAUACCGGGUGCUGUAGGCU
RNAcentral lists this ribosomal RNA (117 nucleotides) under Capra hircus (goat). Lineage: Eukaryota; Metazoa; Chordata; Mammalia; Artiodactyla; Bovidae. The record is from RNAcentral.